Molecule: ribosomal RNA, 497 nt
Filed under: uncultured bacterium
Lineage: Bacteria
Description: partial 16S ribosomal RNA
Rfam family: Bacterial small subunit ribosomal RNA
Source: RNAcentral
GAUGAACGCUGGCGGCGUGCCUAAUACAUGCAAGUCGAGCGAACAGACGAGGAGCUUGCUCCUCUGACGUUAGCGGCGGACGGGUGAGUAACACGUGGAUAACCUACCUAUAAGACUGGGAUAACUUCGGGAAACCGGAGCUAAUACCGGAUAAUAUAUUGAACCGCAUGGUUCAAUAGUGAAAGACGGUUUUGCUGUCACUUAUAGAUGGAUCCGCGCCGCAUUAGCUAGUUGGUAAGGUAACGGCUUACCAAGGCAACGAUGCGUAGCCGACCUGAGAGGGGGAUCGGCCACACUGGAACUGAGACACGGUCCAGACUCCUACGGGAGGCAGCUGUAGGGAAUCUUCCGCAAUGGGCGAAAGCCUGACGGAGCAACGCCGCGUGAGUGAUGAAGGUCUUCGGAUCGUAAAACUCUGUUAUUAGGGAAGAACAAAUGUGUAAGUAACUAUGCACGUCUUGACGGUACCUAAUCAGAAAGCCACGGCUAACUACGUG